This 63-nucleotide microRNA precursor is filed under the name Lottia gigantea (owl limpet). Its description in RNAcentral is "Lgi-Mir-1992-P1_pre stem-loop". Lineage: Eukaryota; Metazoa; Mollusca; Gastropoda; Lottiidae. The record is from RNAcentral.
CAGUCAGUGGAUGAUUGUUAUGAUGGCGAUGUUAUUUUAUCAGCAGUUGUACCACUGAUUGGG